RNAcentral lists this non-coding RNA (29 nucleotides) under Homo sapiens (human). The record is from RNAcentral. Lineage: Eukaryota; Metazoa; Chordata; Mammalia; Primates; Hominidae.
UGGGNGGCAGAGGUUGCAGUGAGCCAAGA